GAUGAACGCUGGCGGCGUGCCUAAUACAUGCAAGUCGAGCGAACAGACGAGAGUGCUUGCACUCUCUGACGUUAGCGGCGGACGGGUGAGUAACACGUGGGUAACCUACCUAUAAGACUGGGAUAACUUCGGGAAACCGGAGCUAAUACCGGAUAAUAUUUAGCUUCGCAUGAAGCAAUAGUGAAAGACGGUUCUGCUGUCACUUAUAGAUGGACCCGCGGUGUAUUAGCUAGUUGGUGAGGUAACGGCUCACCAAGGCAACGAUACAUAGCCGACCUGAGGGGGGGAUCGGCCAAACGGGGACUGAGACACGGCCCAGACCCCUACGGGGGGGCGGAGGAGGGAAUCUUCCGAAAGGGACGAAAGUCUGAGGGGGAAAUGCCGGGUGGGUAAAGAAGGUUUUCGGAUCGUAAAACUUUUUUGUAAGGAAAAAAAAAGUCCGUUAGUAACUGAACGUACCUUGACGGUACCUUACAAAAAAGCCACGGCUAACUACGU
Molecule: ribosomal RNA, 498 nt
Filed under: uncultured bacterium
Lineage: Bacteria
Description: partial 16S ribosomal RNA
Rfam family: Bacterial small subunit ribosomal RNA
Source: RNAcentral